GAUAAGAACGUAGCGAAAUGCGAUACGUAAUGUGAAUUGCAGAAUUCAGUGAAUCAUCGAGUCUUUGAACGCACAUUGCGCCCCCUGGUAUUCCGGGGGGCAUGCCUGUCCGAGCGUCAUUGCUGCCCUCAAGCACGGCUUGUGUGUUGGGCCUCUGUCCUCCUCCCGGGGGACGGGCCCGAAAGGCAGCGGCGGCACCGCGUCCGGUCCUCGAGCGUAUGGGGCUUCGUCACCCGCUCUUGUAGGCCCGGCCGGCGCUUGCCGACACAUCAAUCUUUUUUCCAGGUUGACCUCGGAUCAGGUAGGGAUACCCGCUGAACUUAAGCAUAUCAAUAAGCGGAGGA
This 344-nucleotide unclassified non-coding RNA is filed under the name soil metagenome. Its description in RNAcentral is "partial contains 5.8S ribosomal RNA, internal transcribed spacer 2, and large subunit ribosomal RNA". The stretch from base 4 to 119 matches the Rfam family "5.8S ribosomal RNA", at positions 39 to 154 of the family's 154-position model. The record is from RNAcentral.